RNAcentral lists this ribosomal RNA (425 nucleotides) under uncultured bacterium. RNAcentral's name for it is "partial 16S ribosomal RNA". It matches the Rfam family "Bacterial small subunit ribosomal RNA", at positions 354 to 796 of the family's 1533-position model. The record is from RNAcentral.
GUGGGGAAUCUUAGACAAUGGGCGCAAGCCUGAUCUAGCCAUGCCGCGUGAGUGAUGAAGGCCCUAGGGUUGUAAAGCUCUUUCAGCUGGGAAGAUAAUGACGGUACCAGCAGAAGAAGCCCCGGCUAACUCCGUGCCAGCAGCCGCGGUAAUACGGAGGGGGCUAGCGUUGUUCGGAAUUACUGGGCGUAAAGCGCGCGUAGGCGGACUGCAAAGUUGGGGGUGAAAUCCCGGGGCGCAACCUCGGAACUGCCUUCAAAACUAUCAGUCUGGAGUUCGAGAGAGGUGAGUGGAAUUCCGAGUGUAGAGGUGAAAUUCGUAGAUAUUCGGAGGAACACCAGUGGCGAAGGCGGCUCACUGGCUCGAUACUGACGCUGAGGUGCGAAAGCGUGGGGAGCAAACAGGAUUAGAAACCCGAGUAGUCC